UCAUUGAGCAUAUUCGUUUUAAUAUUUGUUUAUGAGAUAUAUUGAGAUGAUUAAAUAAAUUAUUCAUUUGUUAACAACAAAUAUUGGGAUGACAUUGGAGUUGAAGAUACAGGGAGAGGCUAACAGACCAUCACCCUCCAAUAUCUGAUGCUGGCUUGAUAAAAAUGUACGACUACCUUUCAAGCUCUGACUCAGCCCAGGUGUUGCAACACAAGGUCUUUGUGGACAUCAUGAUGCACUUUGGCUGAAGGGGCCGUGAAAAUAUAAGAACUCUCCGAAGAAGAGACCUUUCUUUUAGUACUGAUGGAGAGGGAUGUAUCAGCCUAGUGCGGUACUAAAUGAUAACAUACACUGCGAUAAUGUAGUGUUGGGGCAUAACAAGAUGGGUAACAUGAUGAGUUUCAUCAGUGAGGCAGCCUCCUUAUUGAUGCCUUAUACCAAUCAUUUUCUCUGUGCAACCACUGUCCACAUUCUAGACGAAGCAACUUUGACGACUUGUAAUGAUGAAGCAACCUUGAAUGAUGGUUAAGACAAUCUUUAUGCAAACACUCUCAUGCCAAAUUUACCUGUUGUACCAACCAUGUACAAUUGUUCAUAUGUAACAAUCACCUACAAUAUGAGUUUUAAGAGUAAUCAGUAGACCAAGUAUAUUGGUGAAAUCAGUCAAAGAAAUAAUUCAGAAAUAUUUAUUUUAGUGUUGUUACUGUUAUUAAAUUUAUUACUGUUAUUGUUACACAUUGUUAUAAGUUGUUUUAUGUUGUAAAUAUUGACACUUUUCAUUGCCUAGAUAAGAUACUC
Long non-coding RNA from Magallana angulata, 798 nucleotides. RefSeq lists it as uncharacterized. The record is from RefSeq and is a predicted model, not a curated record. The transcript is spliced from 3 exons. Lineage: Eukaryota; Metazoa; Mollusca; Bivalvia; Ostreida; Ostreidae.